UUUUUUCUUUUUUUUCUUGUUCUCUUUUAGUUUCCCUCUCAAACCCAAUCUCCCCAAUCCUCAACCCUUCCUCGCCAAUGCCGACUCCAAAUGCCAACCAUCUUUAUGCUUUUCGUCUGAGAAAUAGCACACCCACUCCAUCACCCGAGUCUUCUCCUCUAUCAUCUUGAGAACCCACUCUCUUCUCCUCCCGUCAUCCCCAAAAUCCCUCGCAAACCCACCCCCACCACAACCUCGAGACCCAUCUCCUCCACUUCUAUAGCCUAGCGACCCAACCCACCACCCACCUCCACUACCUAGUGACCCUCCCCAAGACCCAACUCCACCUCUGCCCUCACCUCCUCACACGUAUGCCCAUGUCUCACCUCCUCCAUCGCCCCCUUCCCUUUCUCCUCCAUCCUUGGUCCCAUGUCCUUGCCAUUCUACCUCCCCCAUCCCACCACCUAGUGGUAUUGCAACUCGCACUAGAAAUCGCACCCAACCCACUAUCCUUCCUCCCUCUGCUCCACCCAAACCCUUUGUUCAUGUCAAGACAGGUGCUCAAAAGCAAAAAAAAAUGCGUAUGUUGCAUCCAAUGAUUAUGUGCUGCUGCCUGAGUCCCUACCGCCCGUGCCUGUUGCCAAGAAGCCCGAGCCUACACCCACUGCUGUGCCAUCCACUUCCACUGCCAAAGGCAAGGCCUCCACUUCGGCUUCUACAAAAUUGGCUUGAAGGGAGUUCAAGCUAAGUCUCAAGGGGAGCUUGAGCUGAAGCUUAAGGGAGUCUAGUAGCUGGAGGGAGACCAGCAAACCAUUAUACCAGCGGGAGGCUGGUUGCUUGAAGAUUCUCACUAAACUAGGGAGUUGAUAGCUUGUGUUGUAAAGCAAUUUGAAAGGGAUUUUAAAAAUGUGUUUACUACUUUGUAUAUUGUAAUAACUUUGAGUAUUGUUAGUGAAUUUGCUUCAUCUCA
Long non-coding RNA from Humulus lupulus (European hop), 949 nucleotides. RefSeq lists it as uncharacterized. Lineage: Eukaryota; Viridiplantae; Streptophyta; Magnoliopsida; Rosales; Cannabaceae. The transcript has 2 exons. The record is from RefSeq and is a predicted model, not a curated record.